RNAcentral lists this long non-coding RNA (4158 nucleotides) under Pelobates cultripes (western spadefoot toad). Lineage: Eukaryota; Metazoa; Chordata; Amphibia; Anura; Pelobatidae. The record is from RNAcentral.
CAUUAUUACAUUUUACAUAAUGUUAUAGCUCCUCAAAAAAUUGUACAUCAUAAAAAACUCAACAAGUGUACAUAAGCAGUAUACUUACUUUAUGAACAACCUUAAAAAGAUAUUUUGCACAGUGGCACACUUUUACGUAAAUUGUAUUUAAGAGUAAACCACACUUAUAUAUGGCUAUACCCUCGGAGUAAAUAUAAAGGUGAACCAUAAUUUCAAUAGAAAUAUUGUUUAAUUUCUCUUCUUCUCUGUAUGCUUUCUUUAUGCCGACAGCCAGGUUUAGGUGGAGGUGCCCAGCUGCAGGAUAAAGAAGUGUUGAUUUCUACAUUUAACUUUAUUUUUCAUACUAGACAAAUACAUAAUUAUUAAAUAUAUUGAUAAGUAAACAUUUAAAAUUGAGAAAAGUGAGUUUUUGCCCCAUAACGAUGUUAGGACGUGUCAUUAUGUCCUACAAAAAACAGGCUUUAACAACAUAUGAGAGGUACUUGGGGCUCCGUCAUCUUUAGUGGCUCCAAACUGAUAAGCUGUAUGCAGCGCUCCAAGUGAGUGUUGCAUACAGUCCUUUAAAUGGGGAUUUGAAUCUUAGUGGCUGCAACAUGGUAUGAACAGGCUAUCCCGGUAUCAAUCAAUACAUGGGCUUUAAUAUUUAAUGGUCCCAGACUGACUGAUAUAUAUGCAAUGUAUACAGCCUUUUGAAAUCACUGUGGCUAAGCAGAUCAAGCUCAGUCAUGGUUAAUCGCUAGCUGUCAGCUGUGGGAGUUAUUCAACAGAAGACAAAGGUUCUCCCUGCAUGCCCCUUGCCAAUUGUGAUCAGUGCUAGGGAGCAUGCUGGAGGUUCAGCAUUACAGUGAGAUCUCCAUUCUGAAAAGGGCCAGUAGAUGGCAGUCAAAGAAAAUACAUCUACUAUCCGUACUGAUAUUAGCAGAGGGAAUUUAUAAGGGGUAUGGUUAGUAUUAGGGUAUGUGUUAAUGCGGUUUUAGGGUUAGUGUUAGGUUAAGGUAGGUAUACAGUUAGAGUAAGCAUAAUUUAGGUCUGUAUACAGUUAGCAUUAUCCGUCAAAAGUAAUUUUAGAUCCUAGACAUAUGUGGUAUUUAAAAAAAACAAAAAAACAUGGCUGAUAUGAUCUAUUUUGAGUUCCUUUUCUUAAGUAGCACUGGAUGUGGAAAUGUAUUAAAAGAAAAAAUUUUGAAAAAUAUGUUUUGUUUACCCAUUUUUAACAUUUCAUUCACACUUAAUGAUGUGUUGAGUAUACAUAAAGGAUAAUAAAAUAAUUAAAUUUCUGCCAUUUAAAAAAAUAUAAUAUAUAUGGGGGGCACCUAUGUAGAGACUCUUAUGUAACAGUGGAACAAACACACUGUGGCUUGGUUCAAAGGUGGAACAAUUGAUUCUAACAAUAAGGGAGUUGAAUAACUUCAUUCUUUUAUCUAUAAUUAACUGGCAGUACAUUGAUAGCAAAGGAUUUCAAGGGCAAUUCUAUAUUUGCUAACGCCCCAUGCAAAAACAAUAAUUGAUAUUUGCAGAAAUAUUGUGCAACCUAGUGCACACGCUGGCAACUUUCCACUUGCUGGCUUUUCCAAAAGAAAGCGAAAGUGAAAAGUUAGGACGCAUGUGUGUACAACGGUUUCUCCACUGACUUGAAAUAAUGAUUUAACAAACAUUCCAGUGAAUAAAAGCAGCAGGUAGCAUUCAUUGACUUAAACAUGUUUUAGUUCAUUCAUUAAUUUCAGCCAAUAAAGAAACAUGGCAGUGCUAGUGAGCAUGAUAUACAAGCUGCCUAUACAAGUAAAAUGAAAAACAAAAAUUGGCUGGAAGAACCGAGCAUGUUGUUCCAAAAUGAUAUUGAGGAAGCAGAAGGCAUUGCAGAUCAUUACAGAAGGGUUUUUUUAUAGUUAUUUAUUAAAUCACCAUUUGUUUAUUUAAAAAAAAUUUUUUUUCAUGCAUUAAAGGAACAUUCCAAGCACCAUAACCACUACAGUUUACUACAGUGGUUAUGGUACCACAAGUGCCCUGGUGCCCCACCCAUUGUAAGAAGCCAAUGAAUCUGGUGGGCUCCUAUUUCUGCCUAUACUGCAGACAACAAGGAACUGGAAAGUCCUAAGCGAGAACUUCCAUUAGCUCUCCUAAACUAAGCACUACAGUGCAGAACUUCAUUUAGACAGAGAGCUUCUGGUUCUUCAUUGUUAAUGGUGGAGGUGGGGAUUGGUGCCCAAUGGACCUCAUGUAAGAGCUCAAACAGGUUUGACUAUUUAUAAUGGCAGGGUGACAAAAAGAUGUAGUGGUUAUGGUGCUUUGAGAAUUCCUUUGAAAUGCAGCUAUGCAGUUUCAAAGGCUUCUCUUUCCCAAGACAAAUUGUUGGAAAGUGACAGACGGGCCUACAACAUUCUUCUUAUGAACAAAAUUAAAGUCCAAGACACACGGAAGAAUAAUGCAUCACUGUUUAAUUUGAUACUAAACAAUAUUUAAAAUGAAAAAGUGAAGCCCAAUUAACUUAUAUAGUGGGGAGGGAAAAAAAACAGAUGCUCAAUGAAUCAAUUAAAAAAAUUGCACCAAAUUCCAACAUCUGUCUCCUUUCUACUUUAAAUUGUGGCAGCAUGAUGACAUCCCAAAAAAACAUUAACAGCAUGGCAUAAAAUAUGAAUGCACAUACACAAAAACGUGUAUGCAGCUGGAUUUACAUAGACAUAGAUACACCCAGAAGCACAAUCUGUGGAUCUUUGGUUGUAUAAAUUCAAAACAUAUGGAUAAAAACAUUAGGAGUAAUUAUAGUACAUGGUUGGAAACACUCCUUUUCUAAAUAAAACCAAAAUAAAAGUGUACAUUUAUCAACUCAGAUUUUAUGGAUUUUGUGGCAUAAUAGUUAGCUGUAGCAACUUCCAUCUAUGCUAUCAGUGUAGGGCAAGUAAAAACUUGACCUGUAUGGGUUAGGCAACAUCAGGAGUAUUAAAGUUCCAAUGCUUUAUCCUGUGGCCCUUGUAUCUCAUUAGCUAAAUAUCUACUUUUAUACAACACUAAAUCAACCCACCAAUAAAAAAAAUUAUAAUCAUUUACUUACACAUUUAGAAAACAAGUGUCAUGUUAUCUGCUUCGGCAUUAUAAGAACCAAGAAAGUACUACAACUACCAUUCCCCAUCCAAUCUUUUACCACGGCAUCUGGGUAAUUAAAAGUGUCCGUACGACUUUUAAAGGGAUUAUCUGUUUACAAGAAAAUCGCAUCAUGUAUUAGUAGUUUGCUGGAACCAAAAAUAAAUGGUUCAAAAGGCAAGUUUAACAUCUGCUUAAAUUGUAAUUUGUGCCAAUGCGAUUACCAACACAGUGCAUUGCUUACAUAACUGGCACACAAUGGUAUAAAAAUACACAUUUGACAUUUGCAACCUAUUUGGGUCUUAAAGGUUUCCUAGUACUCCCACAUAGGACGCUCAUGAAAAGCACUUAAUUUUGGCAGAGUUUUAAGGAAAAACCAAAACCAAACUAUACAUAUUUUUCUUCCAAUUUAGGUUUCAGGCACAAAAAGUCUGGAUUGGAGCUCUGUAAGGCAUCACUGAAAACUACCAAUUUUAAAAUAAUGUGAUACAUUCUUAGUGGGAACCACUUUGCAGUAUUUUCUGCUAUGUGCACGUGUGGAUCAAAUACAUAUUGACCACAAAAAAAUGAAAAGCAUCAGGGGCAAACAAAAAACAUUGCAAUGGUAUGUUGAACGUUUUUGUUCAUUUUCUGGAAACCUUUGCAAUGGUAUCUAUACGUUAGUACUUUUAGAUACAAUAUCAAAUGGCACAUACUAUUCGGAAAUAGAUAUGUAAAAAUAUCCCUAUAACUUAUAAAGGAAUUACUGUGAAAAGACAAAAUGUCAGCUAUUGUUCCGUCUCCAAAUCUAUUCUUGCCACAAAUCUGACUCUACCAUUAGUUAGAUUAGUGAUGAAAUGUCAGUACCCCAUUAUAUAGGGAAUAUUGAGAAGUAGCCACACAACCCAAAAGUGAAAGAAUGAGUUCAAAUAAAAUUAAGUGUAUCAAAGAUCAUAAGGUAAAAACCAAAAACAUACAAAAACACAUACAAAUAUUAAAAACACAUGCUGUCCCCAUUCACAAAAAAAUGUGAAGCUUCAGUGUCAAUUUUCAUUCCUGUCACAGCAUCAUUUAAAAAAAAAAAAAAGCUUAAGAAAACCC